RNAcentral lists this ribosomal RNA (478 nucleotides) under uncultured bacterium. RNAcentral's name for it is "partial 16S ribosomal RNA". It matches the Rfam family "Bacterial small subunit ribosomal RNA", at positions 28 to 507 of the family's 1533-position model. The record is from RNAcentral.
GACGAACGCUGGCGGCGUGCUUAACACGUGCAAGUCGAACGUGAUUUUUGUGGAAAUUCUUUCGGGAAUGGAAAUGAAAUGAAAGUGGCGAACGGGUGAGUAACACGUGAGCAACCUACCUUACACAGGGGGAUAGCCGUUGGAAACGACGAUUAAUACCGCAUGAGACCACAGAAUCGCAUGAUAUAGGGGUCAAAGAUUUAUCGGUGUAAGAAGGGCUCGCGUCUGAUUAGCUAGUUGGAAGGGUAAAGGCCUACCAAGGCGACGAUCAGUAGCCGGUCUGAGAGGAUGAACGGCCACAUUGGAACUGAGACACGGUCCAAACUCCUACGGGAGGCAGCAGUGGGGAAUAUUGCACAAUGGGGGGAACCCUGAUGCAGCGACGCCGCGUGAGCGAAGAAGGUUUUCGAAUCGUAAAGCUCUGUCCUAUGAGAAGAUAAUGACGGUAACAGAGGAGGAAGCCCCGGCUAAAUACGUG